Molecule: ribosomal RNA, 409 nt
Filed under: Prymnesium parvum
Lineage: Eukaryota; Haptophyta; Prymnesiales; Prymnesiaceae
Description: partial Bacterial large subunit ribosomal RNA
Rfam family: Bacterial large subunit ribosomal RNA
Source: RNAcentral
UGGCACCUUGAUGUCGGCUCAUCACAUCCUGGGGCUGUAGCCGGUCCCAAGGGUUUGGCUGUUCGCCAAUUAAAGUGGUACGUGAGCUGGGUUUAAAACGUCGCGAGACAGUUUGGUCCCUAUCUGCCGUGGGCGUUGGAAAUUUGAAGGGGGCUGCUCCUAGUACGAGAGGACCGGAGUGGACGCACCUCUGGUGUAUCGGUUGUCACGCCAGUGGCAUCGCCGAGUAGCUAAGUGCGGAAGAGAUAACCGCUGAAAGCAUCUAAGCGGGAAACUCGUCUCAAGAUGAGUCUUGCCGGGGCCUAGAGCCCCCUGAAGGGUCGUUCAAGACCAGGACGUUGAUAGGCUGGGUGUGGAAGCGCAGUAAUGCGUUAAGCUAACCAGUACUAAUUGCCCGUGAGGCUUGACC